CUACGGGCGGCUGCAGUCGAGAAUAGUCUACAAUGGACGAAAGUCUGAUAGUGCAACGCCGCGUGGGUGAAGAAGCAUUUCGGUGUGUAAAACCCUUUUCUUUGUGAGCAGUGCCGUUAUGGUUAAUAGCUAUAGCGGAGGGAUAUUAGCAGAGGAAUAAGCCACGGCUAACUCCGUGCCAGCAGCCGCGGUAACACGGGGGUGGCAAGCGUUGUCCGGAGUCACUAGGCGUAAAGGGCAAGUAGGCGGAGUAUCAAGUCAGAUGUUAAAGGCAUUGGCUCAACCAAUGUACGGCAUUUGAUACUGGUAUUCUAGAAUUUGGUAUGGGAAGACGGAAUUCCUGGUGUAGCGGUGGAAUGCGCAGAUAUCAGGAAGAACACCGGAGGCGAAGGCGGUCUUCUGGGCCAAAAUUGACGCUGAAUUGCGAAGGUGUGGGUAUCAAACAGGAUUAGAUACCCCUGUAGUC
RNAcentral lists this ribosomal RNA (466 nucleotides) under uncultured bacterium. Its description in RNAcentral is "partial 16S ribosomal RNA". It matches the Rfam family "Bacterial small subunit ribosomal RNA", at positions 339 to 795 of the family's 1533-position model. The record is from RNAcentral.